UAUAUGAAGAUUUUACUUAGCUCAUGUAAAGUGAGUUUGAAAUAUAUAUGAUGAAUGAAUUAACAUCUUCUCUCAAACUCCAAAUUAAGACAAACAAGAAAGGGGAUCUUUAUUGACCAACAUUAGUCCACAAGAAAACUCUGAUAGAAGAUUGGCAUGAAGAAGGUAUGUCUAUGACCCCAUCUUGUAGAAUUUGUAAAGGAUGAGCAAAGUAGAUCUAUUGUUUAAAGCUAUAUUGAAAUAUGAUAGAAUAAUUAUUUUAUCAUACAGCUAGUAGACCAGAUUGUAUGCUCAUUAUGUGACCUUGUGCAAGACUUCAAUCUAACUUUAAUUAAUCAUAUUUUAUU
RNAcentral lists this long non-coding RNA (347 nucleotides) under Phoenix dactylifera (date palm). Its description in RNAcentral is "long non-coding RNA (PDAC_LNC021589)". The record is from RNAcentral. Lineage: Eukaryota; Viridiplantae; Streptophyta; Magnoliopsida; Arecales; Arecaceae.